This 18-nucleotide ribosomal RNA is filed under the name Pisolithus microcarpus. Its description in RNAcentral is "partial 18S ribosomal RNA". Lineage: Eukaryota; Fungi; Basidiomycota; Agaricomycetes; Boletales; Pisolithaceae. The record is from RNAcentral.
GGGGGACCUUUGCCGGUC